UGAACUGGCAUUUGCAGUUUAGUGGUAAAUUUGUGUUGAAAAUCACAGAAAUGGCCUCGAAAACAGGUGACAUUCAGACCCCUAAAUUGGCUGAUUUUCCAUGAUAAAAAUAUACAGCAAGUGGGUGCACCAUGGCUAUCCAUGUAUUUUCUGGAAGACAUACCCCCAACAAUACUGAAGAUAUGUUUUGUAUGAUUUCAGGUGUAGACGUUGUGUUAGCUGUGAGGACGGACAGUGCCCCCACCCCGGCAGCCAGUAGCCGAUUUGUGAAAAACUGUAGUGUGCCCCCUAAGUGCGUCUAUCAAACAUUAUGGCCGACAAAGACAUUACAUUUAUUGUCAGUAUUGAUGGAGAGGAGCAUCACAUCAUAGGAUCAGCAACCUUUGUAGAGGCCCUGAAUUCAGAUGACCAUUCAACCAGGCAACAUGCCUAUGCGUACAUUUUAUCUGUGCUGAGGCAAGGUUUGUCAUUCACAUUUUUUCUUAUCUCUUUACUUUCAAAUGAAACUUGAAAAUGUGAUUGAUUACAUGUUUAAUGAUAAUUAGGGAUUCAAAUAAUACAAAAAUGUUCAUGUGCUUGUAUUUUUUUCCGAUUGUUUAUUGCGAAAAAAGUGAUUGAUUUGUUUUAAUUUCAAAGUAAACAUUGUGAUGUGGUCACUUUUUAAAAUACUGAAUGUUUUGUAAUUGGCAAAAUAUUGGGUAGCCGCACAUGCGCAUAUAUCACAAAAACUUGCUUUACUUUCUGAAGAAGCACAGAGGUCAGGAGGCAUCUAAUGCAUAAAAUUAUUUGUGGACCUAUUUGAUGACUAUAAUAACCGUGUGUGUAAACAAUGUUUACCAAUACUGUACAUGAAUUGAUUUUGAACUUAGUUCAUUUAUGUUUGUUCAUUUUAAAGACAAGCCUCUUCAUUUAAAAUUAUUUGAAAAUUAAACAUCACAAUGGAAAAUGCCAUAUUGCAAUGUAUAAAAAAAUCCUAUAUAGCUGCUGUGUUUUAUUUAUUUUGUAUUGCAUGGAAGGCAAGUGCUGGUACUCCUAGUGAUGGUGGUGGCGGUGGUGGUGGGGGAGGUUAGGCUGUUGGUGAUGAUGAUUGUGAUUAUGACAAGGAUUGUAAUGCUGAUACGGAUAAUUCUGAUGAUGAUAAUGGUGACUAUGAGUGGAUAAUUAUACGCCCACAAACAAAGUUUAGGGGGGUAUAUAGGAGUGAGCUUGUCUGUCUGUCAUUUGGUCUGUCUUGUCGGUCCGUAUUACGUGUCAGCUCUCUAAUUCAAGUUGUUUUCAUCCGAUCUUGACCAAACUUGGUCAGAUGUUGUAUCAAGAUGAUGUCUAGGUCAAGUUCGAAUAUGGGUCAUGUCAGAUUAAAAACUAGAUCAUGGGGUCACUUAGUGCGUUUUACACAUUUAGCAUGUUGUCCGCUCUCUAAUUCAAGUAGUUUUUAUCCGAGCUUCACCACACUUGGUCAGAAGUUGUAUCUAGAUGAUGUGUAGGUAUAAAGUUUGAACAUAGGCCAUGCCGGGUAAAAAACUAGGUCAUGGGGUCACUUAGUGCGUUUUUAACAUUGAGCAUGGUGUCCUUUGUUUUAUGUGAAGACAACAUGCAAAAUAUUCUGUGUCAAUGCGGCAUGUGGGGGUAUUGAUUACGUCUGUGACAAAGCUCUAGUUUAUGAUGUUUAUGAUAGUUGUGAGGAAGAUGAUAGUGAUGGUAAGGAUGGUGAAGAUGGUGACAAUGAUGAUUGUGAUUGUGGUAAUUAUGAUCAUGGCAAUGAUAAUUAUGCUUAAGAUUGUGACAAUUUUAAUGAUGAUGAUCACGGCAAUGAUAAUUAUGCUUAAGAUUGUGACAAUUUUAAUGAUGAUGAUAAAUGAGGAUGACAAACAGGGGGGGAGGGGUAAUGAUGAUGGUGAUAAUUGAUGAUGUUUAUUAUAGUUAUGAUGAUGCAUAAUUAACCAGGUUUUCCGAAGGAAAAAACUGGUUAUUAGAUUGGCGAAUGCGGGCGGGCAGGCUGGCGGGCGGGCGGAGCAAGCUUGUCCGGGCCAUAACUUUCUCGUUCAUUGUGAGAUUUUAAAAUCAUUUGGCACAUUUGUUAACCAUCAUUAGACGGUGUGUCGCGCGAAGAAAUUACAUCAAUAUCUCCAAGGUCAAGGUCACACUUUGAGUUCAAAAGUAAAAAAUAGCCAUAAAUGAGCUUGUCUGGGCUAUAACUAUGUCAUUCAUUUUGAGAUUUUAAAAUCAUUUGGCACAUUUGUUCACCAUCAUGGGACGGUGUGUCGCAAGAAAGAAUCACGUCAAUAUCUCCAAUGUCAAGGUCGCCACGACUAAAAAUAGAUUUAUUUUAAAACAAACUUACAAAGGGGGUUAAUUUUGUUUGUUCAUUUCAAAAGUUCAGUUUGAGUUGUCUCCCUUUAUCAGAUUUUUUUUCACAAUGAAAACCUGGUUUUGUGACAAUUUUGUCCCUUGUUUGGUGGUUGAAUUGGCAUGACGCCUUAUCUAUGAUCGCUCCGCCCACUUAAUCACGUGGCUCAGCGGGUAGCAAACCUAGACAAGCUAACACCAAAAUGGCUUCAUUGCCUAUAUACUGCAUGUAGAAUAACGCAAUAUUCCGGAUUAUUUUUAUGGACUUUUUGACACCAUAUGACACUUGUAUAAGGGGUUUGUGUGAUUUAGUAAUUCUGCGAAUGCAAAAAAUAUACGUUUAUAGAGAACAUCAGAUAAUUAUAACGGGUUUUUCGGUACAUGAAUAACGCU
This is a long non-coding RNA of Dreissena polymorpha, 2739 nucleotides long. RefSeq lists it as uncharacterized. Lineage: Eukaryota; Metazoa; Mollusca; Bivalvia; Myida; Dreissenidae. The transcript is spliced from 3 exons. The record is from RefSeq and is a predicted model, not a curated record.